RNAcentral lists this long non-coding RNA (1381 nucleotides) under Brassica napus (rape). RNAcentral describes it as "long non-coding RNA (BNAP_LNC006530)". The record is from RNAcentral. Lineage: Eukaryota; Viridiplantae; Streptophyta; Magnoliopsida; Brassicales; Brassicaceae.
AACCGUGGCUACGUCUACGAUGCUGUCGUCUCUGCUUACUCUGGUCUCGCGUUCCCACCGAACACUACUAGAGCAUCUAGUGCCGGCGCGGUUGUGUCUGUGCAGCUUCUAUGUGGCUGCUCGAGUGGUCUCUGGAACUACCUUAUGAGCUACGUGACGGUCUCUGGAGACAGUGUUCAAUCUCUCUCGAGCCGGUUCGGUGUUAGUAUGGAUCGAAUCGAGCAGGUUAACGGAAUCUCGAAUCCUGACAAUGUCACAACCGGAGAUCUCAUUUUCAUCCCUCUUGAUUCUGGUAAAGAAUCUUCAAUUUGAUUAUCUUGAAUUAGGCAUGGGCAUUUCGGGUAUCGGUUCGGUUUUGGGUUUUUCAGUUCUGGUUUAGGAAAUUCGGUGUGGUUUUGGUUUGAUUAUUUAGAUUCGGCUUGGGUAAUAAGGUUGGGAUCCGGCUAACAUCCGAGAUAAUUUUGGGUCUAAUUCAGUUCAGUUCUGGUUUUCCGGUUAAUUCGGGUUUAAAAAUCAGAUAAUUCAGGUUUUUGGAGUUACAUUAUCAUAUCUUUUUAGGUUUUAAGACAAAACAGUUUAAUGAUCUUGUUCUUGUCGUCUUGUUUAAGUGCCUGGAGUGCUUUAUGAAGCAAGGAAGAUAAACCCUCCUGCUCCUUCUCCUUCUCCUGUUUUAACCAAUAGCAAUAUCUCAGGUUCUGAUUUAUUUUUGUCUUAACUGAAUCUGAGGGUUUACUAUUUUUAGUAUCAUGAGACUCACAUUUAUAUAUAUUUUCCAAUUUUGGAAAAAGCUGCUGACCAGGUGAAUCACACUUCAAAGGGAGGUCAUGUCCCUUAUAUAUGGAUUGUUGGUGGUCUUACAGUUGUGCUUGCGCUUCCCGUCUCUGUACUUCCUUCCUCGCUUUCAAACCAAACCCAAACCAAACCUUCUCCAUAAUCCAAAGCAUGUUCGACGCAUUGCCAUCCGACAUAACCGCAGAUUCCACCGGAGAAGACGACGGAGGAGGUUACAUCUACGUCAAGAAGAACUGUUCUUGUCUCACCACGACUCCUCAUCAGUACGCAACGAACACGACAUUCACAAUCAGACAGAACCGUGGCUACGUCUACGAUGCUGUCGUCUCUGCUUACUCUGGUCUCGCGUUCCCACCGAACACUACUAGAGCAUCUAGUGCCGGCGCGGUUGUGUCUGUGCAGCUUCUAUGUGGUUGCUCGAGUGGUCUCUGGAACUACCUUAUGAGCUACGUGACGGUCUCUGGAGACAGUGUUCAAUCUCUCUCGAGCCGGUUCGGUGUUAGUAUGGAUCGAAUCGAGCAGGUUAACGGAAUCUCGAAUCCUGACAAUGUCACAACCGGAGAUCUCAUUUUCAUCCCUCUUGAUUCUG